CUUCCAGUUGUCACUGAGAAGCAACGAAUGACUCGGUCAAGUCGGAGGCAAUGAGACCCAAUACGAGAUUGUUUCUCCACACUGUGCAAAAGAAUGAGAUGCUAAUGAUGACUCCAAAUUCCCUCGGCUGUACUGCUGUUAUGAAGUCCUUGAUUAAACACACCACUCUGAUAAAGGUUGAUCCUAAGUUGAGUGCUGGUAUAGUGACAAAAGAAUGCCACAAACUGGAAGCACUUGGAAAGAAGCAGGAGGAAGAAAAUGGAGAAGAAACAGGAGGGACUUAAAAGGAAGAGGGAUGAGAGGUUGAGUGGCUGAGGCCAAAGUAAAACAACAGAGAGGAAGGAAAGAAGCAAAAAAUGGCUCAGAUUGAUAAGAACAAUGAUGAGCGUCUGGCACAGGUAAAGGCCAAGAAGGUGGCCAGAAAACAUCAGGAGCUGGAACAGAAGAAAUUGGAAGAAGAGCUUAAAAGGAAG
Molecule: long non-coding RNA, 473 nt
Organism: Monopterus albus (swamp eel)
Lineage: Eukaryota; Metazoa; Chordata; Actinopteri; Synbranchiformes; Synbranchidae
Exons: 6
Source: RefSeq, a predicted model, not a curated record